RNAcentral lists this small RNA (156 nucleotides) under Arabidopsis thaliana (thale cress). Its description in RNAcentral is "ATSL303660". Lineage: Eukaryota; Viridiplantae; Streptophyta; Magnoliopsida; Brassicales; Brassicaceae. The record is from RNAcentral.
UAUGUAUUUAUAAUUACGAAUAUUGAAAUUCAAAUCAGCAAACAUGGUGAACAGAUUAUGUCUGGAUGAUGGAAAUCACACAUUCUAAUACGUCUGAACUCUCAAGUUUUUUAUUUUAUAGCCGGUAACACUAUAGGAGAAAAUAAUAACAUAUUA